Molecule: long non-coding RNA, 731 nt
Organism: Symphalangus syndactylus (siamang)
Lineage: Eukaryota; Metazoa; Chordata; Mammalia; Primates; Hylobatidae
Source: RefSeq, a predicted model, not a curated record
GCAUUUGCCCAGGUGGGCAGCCUCCUCAAGGAAGGGACAUCUAACAGAGGCCUGGAAGAUAAAUGGGACGUGGACAGAUGGGCGUGGCCAGCCAGGGGCCGGAGAUGCAGGAAGUGUUCCACCCAGAGGAAACAGCAAGUGACAGAGCAGCAGCGCUGCUCUGAAUUUCCCUGAGAGCACAGCCAACCCCAUUGCCUGGCCCCAAAGGCCUCUUGGAGUCUGAGAAGAGAGGUGCCCCGCAGGACUGCGCAUUCUCUGGGGCAGAGGAAAGUACCCUACGUUUGGCAGGCCGUGAAGAAGCACAGGGGGUUACCCACUCAUGGCUGCACAGCCUGCUUAGCCAGGCCUGCCCAGGCGGGAACUCCCUACUGGGCAGCCAAGGAGUUCUGCACAGCAGCUAAACCUACAGGGAGAUGGGGGCUUGGAGGUCAUUCUGUCUUGCGCUGAGAGCUGACUCGUCAAAGAGGAUAACCAUUCCCCACAAGGGAGACUGUAGAGGAAGAAGAACAAGCAGACAUGGGUUAUGACUCCAGGAAACCUCCACACUGAGAGCUGCAGACAAGGAGAGCUGUCGUCUGUCUGUCUCCUCAAGAAGAGAUUUCCAGGCUUCCUUCUUCUCCAUGUCAACUGCUCCCAAGCAGGAGCUUAAUGACGGUGUGAUGAAUGAAUGAAUGAAUUUGAGGGGCCUACAAGUAGCUAGCUACCCUUCAACUUUGAGCAGGUGGCUCCAA